UUGGAGGGCAAGUCUGGUGCCAGCAGCCGCGGUAAUUCCAGCUCCAAUAGCGUAUAUUAAAGUUGUUGCAGUUAAAAAGCUCGUAGUUGAAUUUCGGGGUUAGUAGGUUGGUCAUGCCACUGGUAUGUACUGGUCUCACUGAUCCCUCCUUCCUGAUGAGCCGUAAUGCCAUUAAUUUGGUGUUGCGAGGAAUCUGGACUGUUACUUUGAAAAAAUUAGAGUGUUUAAAGCAAGCUAACGCUUGAAUACAUUAGCAUGGAAUAAUGAAAUAGGACGUUCGAUCCUAUUUUGUUGGUUUCUAGGAUUGACGUAAUGAUUAAUAGGGAUAGUUGGGGGCAUUAGUAUUCAAUUGUCAGAGGUGAAAUUCUUGGAUUUAUUGAAGACUAACUACUGCGAAAGCAUUUGCCAAGGAUGUUUUCAUUAAUCAAGAACGAAAGUUAGGGGAUCGAAGACGAUCAGAUACCGUCGUAGUCUUAACCAUAAACUAUGCCGACUAGGGAUCGGAUGAUGUUAUUUUUAAUGACUCAUUCGGCGCCUUACGGGAAAC
This 547-nucleotide ribosomal RNA is filed under the name uncultured Glomeromycotina. RNAcentral's name for it is "SSU rRNA". It matches the Rfam family "Eukaryotic small subunit ribosomal RNA", at positions 548 to 1098 of the family's 1831-position model. Lineage: Eukaryota; Fungi; Glomeromycota. The record is from RNAcentral.